RNAcentral lists this long non-coding RNA (218 nucleotides) under Solanum tuberosum (potato). Its description in RNAcentral is "long non-coding RNA (STUB_LNC006806)". The record is from RNAcentral. Lineage: Eukaryota; Viridiplantae; Streptophyta; Magnoliopsida; Solanales; Solanaceae.
UUAAAAAUAAAAAUAAAAAUCGAGGCAAUAAUUAUUUUAAAGAAAAAUAUAACCAAAAUUGUCAGAAAAUUAAUUCUUCAUGUGGGUUGUUGUAUAUGUAGAAAGGCAUGUGUACAAUUAAUGAGACAUAAUUAAUUUUAUAGUACAAUUUGAAAUGUUUUGUGUACAACAUGGUAGUGCCGUGUUCGUGCUUUAAAGUGUCAACUCUAAUAAGGAGC